CCGUAAGGCGCCGAAUGAGUCAUUAAAAAAAUUAACAUCAUCCGAUCCCUAGUCGGCAUAGUUUAUGGUUAAGACUACGACGGUAUCUGAUCGUCUUCGAUCCCCUAACCUUCGUUCUUGAUUAAUGAAAACAUCCUUGGCAAAUGCUUUCGCAGUAGUUAGUCUUCAAUAAAUCCAAGAAUUUCACCUCUGACAAUUGAAUACUAAUGCCCCCAACUAUCCCUAUUAAUCAUUACGUCGAUCCUAGAAACCAACAAAAUAGAAUCAAACGUCCUAUUUCAUUAUUCCAUGCUAAUGUAUUCAAGCGUGAGCCUGCUUU
This 319-nucleotide ribosomal RNA is filed under the name uncultured Entrophospora. RNAcentral's name for it is "uncultured Claroideoglomus partial 18S ribosomal RNA". Lineage: Eukaryota; Fungi; Glomeromycota; Glomeromycetes; Entrophosporales; Entrophosporaceae. The record is from RNAcentral.